RNAcentral lists this ribosomal RNA (276 nucleotides) under uncultured bacterium. RNAcentral describes it as "partial 16S ribosomal RNA". It matches the Rfam family "Bacterial small subunit ribosomal RNA", at positions 158 to 450 of the family's 1533-position model. The record is from RNAcentral.
UUGUGCUAAUACCGGAUAAGUCUUUACAGAGAAAGCUUUAUGCACCAUUGGAUGAGCCCGCACUUGAUUAGUUUGUUGGUAGGGUAAUGGCCUACCAAGACUAUGAUCAAUAGCUGAUUUGAGAGGAUGAUCAGCCACAUUGGGACUGAGACAGGCCCAAAUCUAUACGGGAGGCAGCAGUGGGGAAUCUUGCACAAUGGAGGAAACUCUGAUGCAGCGAUGCCGCGUGAGUGAAGAAGGCCUUUGGGUUGUAAAGCUCUUUCGUCGGGGAAGAAA